GGCGCUGAGAGGCGAUGAAGGACGUGCUACGCUGCGAUAAGCCGUGGGGAGCUGCGAAGAAGCUUUGAUCCGCGGAUUUCCGAAUGGGGAAACCCACCUUCGAUAGCCGGAACUCCAAGACCUUGAGGUUUAACGACCUUUGGUUUUGGGGUUUGAGUAGGAGACUGCGAAAAUCCUUGACCGCGAGGUUUUGGAUUUCCGGUUAUCAAGAGAAGGUAUGAGACUUCUGAAUACAUAGGAGGUUUCAAGCGAACCCAGGGAACUGAAACAUCUAAGUACCUGGAGGAAAGGACAUCAACCGAGACUCCGCUAGUAGUGGCGAGCGAACGCGGACCAGGCCAGUCAUGAAUGUGAGACAACCAGAACCUGUCAGGAAAGCAGGGCCUCAGAGGGUGAUAGCCCCGUAUGGGUAAUGCAAACAUUCAUGCUCGAGUACGGCGG
The sequence is a ribosomal RNA, 441 nucleotides long. It matches the Rfam family "Bacterial large subunit ribosomal RNA", at positions 35 to 420 of the family's 2925-position model.